GAUGCUGGGAAUUCAGAGCAACAUAUAGAAAAUGCUGAAGGAGCAUAGCAGGCUAGGCAGCAUCUAUGGAAAUGAAUAUACAACCAACAUUUCGUGCUGGGACCUGAAGAAGAGUCUUGGUCCAAAGCAUAAACUUUUCAUUAAUUUCCAUGGAUAGAAAGUUCCUACAGCAUUUUGUGUGCAUUUCUCCUUUUCUAUGCUUUACAGCAUUGUUUUGCAGUUGACUAUAUUGUCACAAGGAGUGCUUUAUUGGUUUUAAAGCAUUCCGCAUUGUUCUCUAGUUUUUUUUUCCUUUCAAGUCCCUCUACAAAUUAUGGCGGCAUUCCAUUCCUGUGAAUUGCUUGUAAUCUGGACAGUUGGCAAGUUGGAAAUGCAGCCGUGUGUGGAGUUCCCACAGCGCAGAAGUGCUUGAAAAGCCCCAGAGCAGCUGAUCUCCUAGAGACUCAUUCGUCGCACGUUCUUUUGAAGACCUUGACCUGGAGUUACACGCUGAUUUUGGUUCUUUACGGGAAUGGGACCCGCUCUCAGGGCCUCACCAUCGGCCGCUUUUUGAUAACCCACGGACGCGGCCUGGGAGACCAGUGCGCCUUCAGAGAGCCGGAUUUUCGUGGCUCUGGAGACGGGCUGACUCAAGGCCGGUGUCACAGGAAAACACUGCUUAUUUCCUCUCAGAGUAUGGAGAUCGAUUGAUAAUGCCUCAUAAUUCUGCCGCCUGGAUUGAUUGAUAGCUGGUGCUCUGCACGCCUUUCAGGAAAGAAGAAGAGUGGGUGCAAGUUAUUUGGGAGUCCAGGAAGUGUUUUAUGCUGCACUUUACAU
Molecule: long non-coding RNA, 816 nt
Organism: Hypanus sabinus (Atlantic stingray)
Lineage: Eukaryota; Metazoa; Chordata; Chondrichthyes; Myliobatiformes; Dasyatidae
Exons: 3
Source: RefSeq, a predicted model, not a curated record